GGCGCAAGCCUGAUGCAGCGACGCCGCGUGAGGGAUGACGGCCUUCGGGUUGUAAACCUCUUUCACCAGGGACGAAGCGUGAGUGACGGUACCUGGAGAAGAAGCACCGGCCAACUACGUGCCAGCAGCCGCGGUAAUACGUAGGGUGCGAGCGUUGUCCGGAAUUACUGGGCGUAAAGAGCUCGUAGGCGGUUUGUCGCGUCGUCUGUGAAAUUCUGCAACUCAAUUGCAGGCGUGCAGGCGAUACGGGCAGACUUGAGUACUACAGGGGAGACUGGAAUUCCUGGUGUAGCGGUGAAAUGCGCAGAUAUCAGGAGGAACACCGGUGGCGAAGGCGGGUCUCUGGGUAGUAACUGACGCUGAGGAGCGAAAGCGUGGGUAGCGAACAGGGUUAGAUACCCUGGUAGUCCACGCCGUAAACGGUGGGUACUAGGUGUGGGUUCCUUUUCACGGGAUCCGUGCCGUAGCUAACGCAUUAAGUACCCCGCCUGGGGAGUACGGCCG
RNAcentral lists this ribosomal RNA (504 nucleotides) under Gordonia lacunae. RNAcentral's name for it is "bacterial SSU rRNA". It matches the Rfam family "Bacterial small subunit ribosomal RNA", at positions 374 to 888 of the family's 1533-position model. Lineage: Bacteria; Bacillati; Actinomycetota; Actinomycetes; Mycobacteriales; Gordoniaceae. The record is from RNAcentral.